UACGAAGGGGGCGAGCGUUGUUCGGAUUUACUGGGCGUAAAGGGCUCGUAGGCGGCCAACUAAGUCAGACGUGAAAUCCCUCGGCUUAACCGGGGAACUGCGUCUGAUACUGGAUGGCUUGAAUCCGGGAGAGGGAUGCGGAAUUCCAGGUGUAGCGGUGAAAUGCGUAGAUAUCUGGAGGAAUACCGGUGGCGAAGGCGGCAUCCUGGACCGACAUUGACGCUGAUGAGCGAAAGCUAGGGGAGCAAACGGG
RNAcentral lists this ribosomal RNA (253 nucleotides) under uncultured bacterium. RNAcentral describes it as "partial 16S ribosomal RNA". It matches the Rfam family "Bacterial small subunit ribosomal RNA", at positions 524 to 776 of the family's 1533-position model. The record is from RNAcentral.